CGGACGGGCGAGUAAUGUCUGGGAAACUGCCCGAUGGAGGGGGAUAACUACUGGAAACGGUAGCUAAUACCGCAUAACGUCGCAAGACCAAAGAGGGGACCUUCGGGCCUCUUGCCAUCGGAUGUGCCCAGAUGGGAUUAGCUAGUAGGUGGGGUAACGGCUCACCUAGGCGACGAUCCCUAGCUGGUCUGAGAGGAUGACCAGCCACACUGGAACUGAGACACGGUCCAG
RNAcentral lists this ribosomal RNA (231 nucleotides) under uncultured bacterium. RNAcentral's name for it is "partial 16S ribosomal RNA". It matches the Rfam family "Bacterial small subunit ribosomal RNA", at positions 99 to 334 of the family's 1533-position model. The record is from RNAcentral.